Molecule: ribosomal RNA, 468 nt
Filed under: uncultured bacterium
Lineage: Bacteria
Description: partial 16S ribosomal RNA
Rfam family: Bacterial small subunit ribosomal RNA
Source: RNAcentral
GAUGAACGCUGGCGGCGUGCCUAACACAUGCAAGUCGAGCGAUUUACUUCGGUAAAGAGCGGCGGACGGGUGAGUAACGCGUGGGUAACCUGCCCUGUACACACGGAUAACAUACCGAAAGGUAUGCUAAUACGGGAUAAUAUGCUUUUAUCGCAUGGUAGAAGUAUCAAAGCUCCGGCGGUACAGGAUGGACCCGCGUCUGAUUAGCUAGUUGGUAAGGUAACAGCUUACCAAGGCGACGAUCAGUAGCCGACCUGAGAGGGUGAUCGGCCACAUUGGAACUGAGACACGGUCCAAACUCCUACGGGAGGCAGCAGUGGGGAAUAUUGCACAAUGGGCGAAAGCCUGAUGCAGCAACGCCGCGUGAGCGAUGAAGGCCUUCGGGUCGUAAAGCUCUGUCCUCAAGGAAGAUAAUGACGGUACUUGAGGAGGAGGCCCCGGCUAACUACGUGCCAGCCGCCGCCGUAA